UGGCUCGGUAGCUCAGUCGGUAGAGCAACGGACUGAAAAUCCGUGUGUCGGCGGUUCGAUUCCGUCCCGAGCCAUCCA
RNAcentral lists this transfer RNA (78 nucleotides) under Paraliobacillus sp. PM-2. RNAcentral describes it as "tRNA-Phe". It matches the Rfam family "tRNA". From Rfam's summary of the family: Transfer RNA (tRNA) molecules are approximately 80 nucleotides in length. Their secondary structure includes four short double-helical elements and three loops (D, anti-codon, and T loops). The record is from RNAcentral. Lineage: Bacteria; Bacillati; Bacillota; Bacilli; Caryophanales; Bacillaceae.